This 71-nucleotide transfer RNA is filed under the name Cupriavidus taiwanensis. RNAcentral's name for it is "tRNA-Met". It matches the Rfam family "tRNA". From Rfam's summary of the family: Transfer RNA (tRNA) molecules are approximately 80 nucleotides in length. Their secondary structure includes four short double-helical elements and three loops (D, anti-codon, and T loops). Lineage: Bacteria; Pseudomonadati; Pseudomonadota; Betaproteobacteria; Burkholderiales; Burkholderiaceae. The record is from RNAcentral.
CGCGGGUGGAGCAUUGGCAGCUCGUCGGGCUCAUAACCCGAAGGUCGCAGGUUCAAGUCGCCCCGCAACCA